This 468-nucleotide ribosomal RNA is filed under the name uncultured bacterium. Its description in RNAcentral is "partial 16S ribosomal RNA". It matches the Rfam family "Bacterial small subunit ribosomal RNA", at positions 28 to 507 of the family's 1533-position model. The record is from RNAcentral.
GACGAACGCUGGCGGCGUGCUUAACACAUGCAAGUCGAACGGAAAGGCCCUGCUUUUGUGGGGUGCUCGAGUGGCGAACGGGUGAUUAACACGUGAGUAACCUGCCCCUGACUUUGGGAUAACCUCAGGAAACUGGGGCUAAUACCGGAUAGGAGCUCCUGCUGCAUGGUGGGGGUCGGAAAGUUUAGGCGGUGAGGGAUGGACUCGCGGCCUAUCAGCUUGUUGGUGGGGUAGUGGCUUACCAAGGCUUGGACGGGUAGCCGGCCUGAGAGGGUGACCGGCGACACAGGGACUGAGAGACGGCCCAGAGUCCUCCAGGGGGCAGCGGUGGGGAAUAUUGCGCAAUGGGGGGGAGCCUGAUACGGCGAAGCGGCGUGUGGGAUGCCGGGCUUCUGGUGUUGAACCGCUUUCGCCUGUGACGAAGCGUGAGUGACGGUAAUGGGUAAAGAAGCACCGGCUGACUACGUG